This 253-nucleotide ribosomal RNA is filed under the name uncultured bacterium. Its description in RNAcentral is "partial 16S ribosomal RNA". It matches the Rfam family "Bacterial small subunit ribosomal RNA", at positions 524 to 776 of the family's 1533-position model. The record is from RNAcentral.
UACGUAGGGUGCGAGCGUUGUCCGGAAUUACUGGGCGUAAAGAGCUCGUAGGUGGUUUGUCGCGUUGUCCGUGAAAACUCACAACUCAAUUGUGGGCGUGCGGGCGAUACGGGCAGACUGGAGUACUGCAGGGGAGACUGGAAUUCCUGGUGUAGCGGUGGAAUGCGCAGAUAUCAGGAGGAACACCGGUGGCGAAGGCGGCUCACUGGACCGGUACUGACGCUGAUGCGCGAAAGCGUGGGGAGCAAACGGG